UUCAACUAUUUUUCCGCCAAGGGGUAAUAGCAAUGGUGUACAAUAUCAGCUAUUAACUUAGCUGGUUAUUUUUGGGAUUUAGGCAUUUACGGAUCUAAAGACUAACUAUUCAAAAUUUGGUUCAAUAUUAACAUUAACUAGGCCUAGAGCACAGAUAUCUAAUAAUAUCAUAAAUGAAGAAAUCCAGAAACCGGAACCUGUGAGAAAUAUUAUGAUGAGCUAGCAAAACUGAUGCAAUACAAUGUAGGGAUCAUCUCGACAAAGGCCGAAUUCGUAUUUUUUACAUAAGAUAUCUUCUCCUAAUGCUCGAAAACCCAUGGUUUUCGGUAUAUUCAUUCGGAUUCAGCUCAUUCAUUAUCAUUAAGACAGUCACACCAUGACCCCCAGGAACAUUUUUCCUUGAUGAAGACCCGAUCUUAGUGUAUUGCAAACCCGGAGUAAAGAGGUGCUACCAGUACCUCUAGUCUGCGGGGACUAUGAACUGGUGAUGUCAAUGUACUCCUCGGAAUGAUUUAACAUGGGCUUGAACCAGAGAACUACAUAAUCUGGUACUACUGGUGGCUGGUCAGAUGGUUGAGGAUUCUUCGGAAUCCACGUAGUGACUGAGGUUUAAACCCAAAUUCGCGGGAAGAGAAAGUGGCGGUUAAAGGACUGAUGAACGGUGAAAUCUAUAAUUCGGAAUAAGUUCGGCGUUGUUGCCGAAUGACAA
This is a long non-coding RNA of Lucilia sericata (common green bottle fly), 709 nucleotides long. RefSeq lists it as uncharacterized. The record is from RefSeq and is a predicted model, not a curated record. Lineage: Eukaryota; Metazoa; Arthropoda; Insecta; Diptera; Calliphoridae. The transcript is spliced from 3 exons.